GCAAGAUGUAAACUCUUUUGGGACUGGCUGC
This 31-nucleotide non-coding RNA is filed under the name Homo sapiens (human). Lineage: Eukaryota; Metazoa; Chordata; Mammalia; Primates; Hominidae. The record is from RNAcentral.